RNAcentral lists this ribosomal RNA (425 nucleotides) under uncultured bacterium. RNAcentral describes it as "bacterial SSU rRNA". It matches the Rfam family "Bacterial small subunit ribosomal RNA", at positions 359 to 776 of the family's 1533-position model. The record is from RNAcentral.
GAAUCAUUCACAAUGGGCGAAAGCCUGAUGGUGUGACGCCGCGUGGAGGAUGACGGUCUUCGGAUUGUAAACUCCUGUCAUGUGAGAGUAAGUUUCAGGGAGUAACUGCCCGUGAAAUUGAGAGUAUCACAAGAGGAAGAGGCGGCUAACUCUGUGCCAGCAGCCGCGGUAAUACAGCGGCCUCAAGCGGUGUUCGGAAUCACUGGGCGUAAAGGGUGCGUAGGCGGCGCGGAAAGUCAGGGGUGAAAUCCCGGAGCUCAACUCCGGAACUGCCUUUGAUACUCCCGCGCUUGAGAACUGGAGGGGAGAUCGGAAUUCACGGUGGAGCAGUGAAAUGCGUGGAUAUCGUGAGGAACACUAGUGGCGAAGGCGGAUCUCUGGACAGUAUCUGACGCUGAGGCACGAAGGCCAGGGGAGCGAACGGG